RNAcentral lists this ribosomal RNA (281 nucleotides) under Helicobacter pylori. RNAcentral's name for it is "partial 23S ribosomal RNA". It matches the Rfam family "Bacterial large subunit ribosomal RNA", at positions 1959 to 2239 of the family's 2925-position model. The record is from RNAcentral. Lineage: Bacteria; Pseudomonadati; Campylobacterota; Epsilonproteobacteria; Campylobacterales; Helicobacteraceae.
GCGAAAUUCCUUGUCGGGUAAGUUCCGACCCGCACGAAAGGCGUAACGAUUUGGGCACUGUCUCAACGAGAGACUCGGUGAAAUCAUAGUACCUGUGAAGAUGCAGGUUACCCGCGACAGGACGGAAAGACCCCGUGGAGCUUUACUGUAGCCUGAUAUUGAAAUUCGGCACAGCUUGUACAGGAUAGGUAGGAGCCUUUGAAACGUGAGCGCUAGCUUACGUGGAGGCGUUGGUGGGAUACUACCCUAGCUGUGUUGGCUUUCUAACCCGCACCACUUAU